This 205-nucleotide long non-coding RNA is filed under the name Homo sapiens (human). RNAcentral describes it as "HSALNT0035799". The record is from RNAcentral. Lineage: Eukaryota; Metazoa; Chordata; Mammalia; Primates; Hominidae.
CUCACUGAUAGGCUUGGUGGAUGCUGAUGUUCUUCCUCAGGCCAAGAAGUUGCGACAGGUUCAUGGACGGGGGCAGGUUCCCUGGGGUGUCUGCAAACUCCAGCUCUGGCACACCAGCGUCUGCACGUUGCCACCCACCAGGAAGGUGGCGAACACCAGGAGGAUGAGGGGUGCAGCAAAGAGGAAGCUGAGGCCCACACCUCUG